This is a long non-coding RNA of Rosa rugosa (rugosa rose), 2017 nucleotides long. RefSeq lists it as uncharacterized. The transcript is spliced from 2 exons. Lineage: Eukaryota; Viridiplantae; Streptophyta; Magnoliopsida; Rosales; Rosaceae. The record is from RefSeq and is a predicted model, not a curated record.
AGUAGAAGAUCCACUAGUCGAUUUCAGGGUUUAGCAGAAAGAAAUAGGUUGAUGGCAAAACCUAGAAUGCCUUCUGAAAAAACAAUCCAAUCCUCUAAGAGGAAGGAACAAGAAUCAAUCAUCUAAAUACGAGAAAAGAACAAUGAGAAAACAAAGAGACAAAGUCCUAUCGGAUCUUUGCUUUGAUAAUAAGUCAAAAUAUGAAAUGGAAAGGAAGAAAUAUUUGUGAGUGAAUUUUCUGAUACCAUUCAAUUGUGCUUAUGAGGUUAUAUAUACAAGCCCUACACUACUACAUGUUGUAUAAUACAAGUCAUCUUGUUCUCCAAGUAAUCUUGUUGUCCAAGUUUCCUUCUCUUACAAGUUUUCUUCUCCUACAAGUUUACAUAUCUAUAUGCUCUAUGCAGAUCAUAAUGUAUCGGUGGCUUUCUCCUAUAUCCAGAUCGAAAUUAGAUGGUAUGCCAGAUGGUCGAUUCAUAAUCAAUAUUUAUGUGGAUGAGAUGCUAGAGGUUUAAUUUUUGUUUUCAUCUACUCUUCCGCAGAGGCCGAAACCAUCUCAUCCUCUCAUCAAUGUCAUCGCCGUUGUCUCUCCCCAAACCCCAACCUAGCCGCUAUCCCUAGACACCUCUGACCCCAUCCACAAUUCCAUUGACGCGAACGACGAGUUGUGUGUCACGCACGCCAUUGGGAACCUCAGCCAAAGCUUUCCGUUAAGCCCUUCGUCAAUGGCGGAGCCUUUGGUAUGCUCGCUACUGUGUCAUCCAACCCAUCGAUAUGAUCAAGGUGAGAAUUCAAUUGGGUUGGGGAUCAGCUGGACAAGCUGCCAGGAUCUUGAUCAAGGAGGAGGGUUUUGGUUCAUUGUAUAAGCUGGACAAGCUAUAGAGUCAUGUUCUGUGGUAUUCUGUUUUGAAGUUUGCUCCUUUCUAAGGUAAAAUCCAUCUUCAAUACUUAUAAUUCAGUGUUGGUUUUUAUCUCAGAAUUGAAGAAAAUACCAUUAUUUAGGAAAUAACAGCUAGCUAGUAUGUAACAUAAUAAGAAGAGUUAAAGUACUAAACUUUUAUUUACUAAAUCAAGUUGGGUUGUGUGAUUCGAUGUGUUUGUGUGUGUCUUCAAAAUCUGUUUAGGGUUGCAUUUGACUUGUUCUUUCUAACUUUUAACUUUUAUUAAGAUGUAUGGUGCACUGUUAUAGUAAAUCAUUUUAUUAAUUAAAGCAGAAAUUUUAUUUACCUUGAGAGGCUUGAGCAAGUCCCAAAAUUUAUAAGUUGUCUCAGACUUGAAGUUCUUUAGGAUUUAGUUUGGCUUUCAGUAAGUUGGUGCUCUAUUUUGGCUUUGCUUAUGUGUUUGGAUUGCUGGUGCAUUACACAUAAUGGAUUGAGAGGUAUGUUUGAUUUCUAUUUUUGAUUUGCUUUCUGGUGAUGAUGAAGGUUAUAUAUAUUGGUUUUCGUGGUCGCUAGUGGAGGACUAGACCUCACAUUAAUAGUUUUCUUACUUUAUUCUCUAGCCAUGUCCAAACUAAACCAUCUGAUUUGUGCAGAACAAGAACUUUGAAUUGAUUAAAAAAAAGAAAAAAGAAUCUAUAUCAGUAUGUGUAGAUAUGCAUUUUAAUUGGCUUUUAGUGUUUCUGGAUUUCCUUCUGCAAUGUUUAUCAUUUCUUCUGUUUUGCACUUGUGAAAAAAACGAAACACUCACUCCUUAAUGCAUGUUGUAGUUACUAUUCUAUGUAUGGACAUUUCAAGAAGCUAGAUGAAGAGAUUAAAAAGGGAGCUGCAUCUGUGGGAGUAGAAGAGCCCAACUAUCUCAGGUUUGCAAUUGUCGAUCACUUCAUAUUAUGGAAUUGAUAUACGGUAAAUCAAGAAGCUGCAUAAAUCAUCUAUUAGCCAGAACUUUGUCCACUAUAUUUGAAAUUUAGUUUCCAAUGAAAUGAGAUCAGUUUGAAAGAACUUUAAUGAAGUUACCAAUAGAGUUAGUUAAUUUCAACUAUCUAGAAUUUGUACAAGUAUUUUGUAUUUUUGACCUUGAU